This 611-nucleotide ribosomal RNA is filed under the name Tylenchorhynchus microconus. RNAcentral describes it as "eukaryotic LSU rRNA". It matches the Rfam family "Eukaryotic large subunit ribosomal RNA", at positions 415 to 861 of the family's 3401-position model. The record is from RNAcentral. Lineage: Eukaryota; Metazoa; Nematoda; Chromadorea; Rhabditida; Telotylenchidae.
GGAAACGGAUAGAGCUAGCGUAUCUGGCUUGCAUUCAACUGUUGGGCUGCUGACUUCAUGGUCGCUGCCUCCAGAUUGGGGUAGUUGCUUUGAGUGGCGGUAGUCUGGUGGUGCAUUUGCAAGUGGUGUGCGCCGAGACGCUCGGGGCAGCGGCAUAAACUCGGUUUUGAGGCCAGCCCGCAAGGGUCUGGUACCCGAUCCGGGGGAGUGUUGUUUGUUCUGGGUGUACCUGUUUUGGCAUGGCUUACGGGUUCGGGUGGGUGUCGAGCUGGUAGCCUGUUACGGUCGCAUGCGACACGUGCUGGCGGUCAGUUCGGUCCUAUUCGAGCUCUCAUGUCUACUCUCGGUGUAAAAGCUGGUCAUCUAUCCGACCCGUCUUGAAACACGGACCAAGGAGUUUAUCGUGUACGCGAGUCAUUGGGCGUUUAAAACCCAAAGGCGAAAUGAAAGUGAAGGUAUCCAUUAGGAACUGACGUGCGAUCCUGCACAUCACGGUGUGUGGGCGCAGCAUGGCCCCAUCCUGACUGCUUGCAGUGGGGUGGAGGUAGAGCGUACGCGGUGAGACCCGAAAGAUGGUGAACUAUUCCUGAGCAGGAUGAAGCCAGAGGAAA